This 279-nucleotide long non-coding RNA is filed under the name Pan troglodytes (chimpanzee). RNAcentral describes it as "long non-coding RNA NONPTRT013187". The record is from RNAcentral. Lineage: Eukaryota; Metazoa; Chordata; Mammalia; Primates; Hominidae.
AACACAUAAAGUCCUGAGCAUACAAAGUUGAGUAAGACACAAUCUGUACCCUUCAGGAUUUCAAAGGAAAGACAGAUAUGUUAGCUUGUGUGUAAAAUACAAACAGACAAGUGCUACACCAGCCUGGCCAACAUGGCGAAGCCCUGUCUCUACUAAAAAUACGAAAAUUAGCCAGGCGUGGUGGCAGGCGCCUGUAAUCCCAGCUACUUGGGAGGCUAAGCCAGGAGCACAGCACUCCAGCCAGGGGGACAGAGCCAGACUCUGUUUCAAAAAAAAAAA